AGUAACGGCGAGUGAAGCGGCAAAAGCUCAAAUUUGAGAUCUGGCUCCUUAGGGGUCCGAGUUGUAAUUUGUAGAGGAUGCUUCGGGUGCGGCCACGGCCUAAGUUCCUUGGAACAGGACGUCAUAGAGGGUGAGAAUCCCGUCUUGGGUCGUUGGUCCACGCCCGUGUGAAGCUCCUUCGACGAGUCGAGUUGUUUGGGAAUGCAGCUCUAAGCGGGUGGUAAAUUUCAUCUAAAGCUAAAUAUUGGCCGGAGACCGAUAGCGCACAAGUAGAGUGAUCGAAAGGUUAAAAGCACCUUGAAAAGGGAGUUAAACAGCACGUGAAAUUGUUGAAAGGGAAGCGCUUGCGGCCAGACUCAGGCGCAGGGUUCAGCGGGUGCGUGUCACCCGUGCACUCCCUGCCGCCUGGGCCAGCAUCAGUUCUGACGGCCGGUCAAAGGCCCCCGGAAUGUGUCGUCUCUCGGGACGUCUUAUAGCCGGGGGUGCAAUGCGGCCCGUCGGGACUGAGGAACGCGCUUCGGCUCGGAUGCUGGCAUAAUGGCCGUAAGCGGCCCGUCUUGAAACACGGACCAAGGAGUCUAACAUCCACGCGAGUGUUCGGGUGUCAAACCCGUGCGCGCAGUGAAAGCGAACGGAGGUGGGAGCCUUAGGGCGCACCAUCGACCGAUCCUGAAGUCUUCGGAUGGAUUUGAGUAGGAGCGUGGCCGUUGGGACCCGAAAGAUGGUGAACUAUGCCUGAAUAGGGUGAAGCCAGAGGAAACUCUGGUGGAGGCUCGCAGCGGUUCUGACGUGCAAAUCGAUCGU
This 804-nucleotide ribosomal RNA is filed under the name Arthroderma quadrifidum. RNAcentral's name for it is "LSU rRNA". It matches the Rfam family "Eukaryotic large subunit ribosomal RNA", at positions 82 to 905 of the family's 3401-position model. Lineage: Eukaryota; Fungi; Ascomycota; Eurotiomycetes; Onygenales; Arthrodermataceae. The record is from RNAcentral.